AUCGCGCCCGGAAGGCGCCGGAGCCCAGCGGCUGGCGCCAGAUCCAGGCUCCUGGAAGAACCAUGUCCGGCAGCUACUGGUCAUGCCAGGCACACACUGCUGCCCAAGAGGAGCUGCUGUUUGAAUUAUCUGUGAAUGUUGGGAAGAGGAAUGCCAGAGCUGCCGGCUGAAAAUUACCCAACCAAGAGAAAUCUGCAGGAUGGACUUUCUGGUCCUCUUCUUGUUCUACCUGGCUUCGGUGCUGAUGGGUCUUGUUCUUAUCUGCGUCUGCUCGAAAACCCAUAGCUUGAAAGGCCUGGCCAGGGGAGGAGCACAGGUAAGGAUGAUCCUUGGAUGGCACUGGAAUUUGAAUACUGUGUUAGUCUAAGAGACUCACAGGUUUUGCUACAGGACAAAAAAGAGAUGCCAGGCCGGGUGCAGUGCCUCACACCUGUAAUCCCGCUACUCAGGAAGCUGAGGCAGGAGGAUCCCUUGAGCCAGGAUUCUGAAGUUGCCGUGAGCUAUGAUCACGCCACUGCACUCCAGCCUGGACUACAGAGUGAGACCCU
RNAcentral lists this small RNA (548 nucleotides) under Pan troglodytes (chimpanzee). Its description in RNAcentral is "retained intron". The record is from RNAcentral. Lineage: Eukaryota; Metazoa; Chordata; Mammalia; Primates; Hominidae.